CUGUAGCCCCCCCGCUGGACUGGACCCCCCGAAACGAGGGACAAGCACUUGGACCCGAACAUGGUAUGGACAUCAUGCUGUAGUGUAGUUGUGCCACAGCGUCCCCCAACAAGCCAGUCACUUCUGAGGAGAGAGAGCUCUAGAUCUACUGGUGCUAGACUUUAUAGUACAUAAGAAUACUUUUAAGACUCCUCUCUGGUGUACUGAUCUCUGCACCACAUUCAUUUCACAGAUGAUUACAUGAAGUUUUGACUGCACAAUUAAAGGAUGAUUUACCUCAGCCAUUGGGAACAGCUCAUCUGAAGCAGACGAAAUGAACUCAAUUUGUCGAUGAUUUUAUCCAACUGCAUAUAAAUUAUAUUAAAUUAUGUUCAUUUGAA
Molecule: long non-coding RNA, 380 nt
Organism: Alosa alosa (allis shad)
Lineage: Eukaryota; Metazoa; Chordata; Actinopteri; Clupeiformes; Clupeidae
Exons: 2
Source: RefSeq, a predicted model, not a curated record